ACUCCUACGGGAGGCAGCAGUGGGGAAUAUUGCACAAUGGGCGCAAGCCUGAUGCAGCCAUGCCGCGUGUGUGAAGAAGGCCUUCGGGUUGUAAAGCACUUUCAGUCGUGAGGAAGGUAGUGUAGUUAAUAGCUGCAUUAUUUGACGUUAGCGACAGAAGAAGCACCGGCUAACUCCGUGCCAGCAGCCGCGGUAAUACGGAGGGUGCGAGCGUUAAUCGGAAUUACUGGGCGUAAAGCGCAUGCAGGUGGUUUGUUAAGUCAGAUGUGAAAGCCCGGGGCUCAACCUCGGAAUAGCAUUUGAAACUGGCAGACUAGAGUACUGUAGAGGGGGGUAGAAUUUCAGGUGUAGCGGUGAAAUGCGUAGAGAUCUGAAGGAAUACCGGUGGCGAAGGCGGCCCCCUGGACAGAUACUGACACUCAGAUGCGAAAGCUGGGGGAGCAAACAGGAUUAGAUACCCUGGUAGGAUAGCG
This 473-nucleotide ribosomal RNA is filed under the name uncultured bacterium. RNAcentral's name for it is "bacterial SSU rRNA". It matches the Rfam family "Bacterial small subunit ribosomal RNA", at positions 335 to 801 of the family's 1533-position model. The record is from RNAcentral.